CUCUGCCUGGACACGACGGUAUCGCGCUCUUCCUGCGUAUGAGUGAAAACAUUAGUAAGAAUCCCAGUCAUGGUCUUCGCAUGGUGAUCACAAAAACGACGCAUCGGAGUGCGACAUUCGAGGAAAGACAGCGCGUUCUUCUGCUGAAGAAGAUGAGGGAGUUCCGACACAGCGUUGAUCGACCAGCCCCAUUGCAAUGUAGCAUGUAAUGGCCGAAAUCGGUACCCACGCACAGCAAUCUCGCAGUGAAAUUCGAAAUGGUGUGUGACGGACCCUGAAACCGGAGCAGCAAGUGACCGCCCAGAAACGCGAGGUAGAUAGUCAUUCAAAAAGCGACGAAACACCUCUUGAGUCGGAUGACCGUCAAUUCUGUCACGGCUGUGACAAUAAGUCGAUCGAGAAUUGUUGAUCAAGACCGCUAUUGUCGUACAGGAGAAGAUCGUCGAUGUCAUUAUCCAUUCCCAUGUCGAUUCCACCUUUCCGAUAGCCCUCGAUCAACUGCUCCCCCAGCUGCUUUUCGGCGGGCUCCAACUCCGAAGUGAUCAAAUUGUUUAGACGUAGAAUGGCGAACAGUUGGCGGAGAAGAGACCGCAGUUCAAUCACCUGCUCCUGAAACAUGUUUCUACCACUCAUCUUAAGUUUUUGAUUCGGCCAUUGAUACGCUCGAGGGCAAAUACCCACCACCCGUAAACAGGACCAUGGGCUAAGAUAUCGUCGGGGAGGUGCUUAACGAUAUGAAAGUUGGUCACACGGGAUGGUAGGUAGGGAUGGAGCCGAACAACAAGGUCGAAAAGUCUUUAGACGGAUCGCCCCAGUCAAUGGAGAAUUUGAGGGUCAACAGAAGGCUGCCAUCCUCUCUUUCACCAUCGUCAGUUUGAUAAAGAGCUCCUCAACAGGAGAGUCUAACAGUGAGUAGGCCCGCUGACGUUCCACCUCUGAGACAUCCGGAUCUGCCGCCCAUUUACUCCGCAACUGCUUCCAAACCUCAUCCACAGUCAAGCUAUGCUCAAUCUUGGACAAAAAUAGGACCAUGUCGCCGAUCUGCUGCGAAAGACCAGCGAACGUUGUGAGUAUGAUGGUGGAGAUAGCUAGGCAGCUGGCCAGCAAAGGUAACUUGGAAGAUCUGGGUGAAGUGUCGUGGGAGAAAGGGUCGGCCAAGUGGGGAUUAGGGUGACGUCCUGAUGCAGUAGGUGAUAGGGAAGGCGGUAUCGCCAUUGGCCAUUCAGCCAGUAAACUGGCAAAUCGACGGGAGCCAGAAUCAUCCAAAGGGUCUUGCAAAAGAUCAUUGUCGGGGUAGUAGAAGUCACCAUCAUCAACCAUCGGGUCAAAGCUGCCAAUUAAUCCAUCAGCGUCUUGAAAGCCGAAUCCUUCUUGAUCGUCGUCUCUAGCAUUCACAUCAUCAGAGUGGAGGGAGGCGGAGCCUUGGCCAGAACACGCAAGCGAUGGACGAAUGUCCGUUGUCAAGGAAUGGCUGGGUCCCACAGCCUCAAGGGAAGUCGAAGGCAAAUUAUGGGCGGCUGCUUCGAGGGGAGGUUGGACACAGCUUCUUGUGUUCUCGCUCUCUCUGAUAAGCCGGUAAUAUGUGAGCACUCAGGACAUCGACAUCGGACAGGUGUCCUAUGGCUCUAUUACAUAUACAUGAGUGACAGUGCACGAAUAAACUUUGCUUUUGUACUACUUACAAUUCUUUUAUCGAAACGUAUACUCUCCGCUUCUAUUAUGAAUGGGACUUUCG
RNAcentral lists this small RNA (1735 nucleotides) under Cryptococcus neoformans H99. RNAcentral describes it as "Cryptococcus neoformans var. grubii H99 hypothetical RNA". The record is from RNAcentral. Lineage: Eukaryota; Fungi; Basidiomycota; Tremellomycetes; Tremellales; Cryptococcaceae.